Molecule: ribosomal RNA, 253 nt
Filed under: uncultured bacterium
Lineage: Bacteria
Description: partial 16S ribosomal RNA
Rfam family: Bacterial small subunit ribosomal RNA
Source: RNAcentral
UCCGAAGGGGGCUAGCGUUGUUCGGAUUUACUGGGCGUAAAGCGCAUGUAGGCGGGCCGAUAAGUUGGGGGUGAAAUCCCGGAGCUCAACUCCGGAACUGCCUCCAAAACUGUCGGCCUGGAGCAGAUGAGAGGCGAGUGGAAUUCCGAGUGUAGAGGUGAAAUUCGUAGAUAUUCGGAGGAACACCAGUGGCGAAGGCGACUCGCUGGCAUCUUGCUGACGCUGAGAUGCGAAAGCGUGGGGAGAAAACAGG